UCAAAGAUUAAGCCAUGCAUGUCUCAGUACAAACAAAACAAAAGUGAAACCGCGAAUGGCUCAUUAAAUCAGCUAUGAUUCAUUGGAUCUGUACACCCAUGUUUUCCUUGGAUAACUGUGGUAAUUCUAGAGCUAAUACAUGCCCGUAUAGCCCCCUGACCUGACGGAAAGGGAGCGAUUAUUAGUAUCAAAAACGAUGACAGACUUGAAUGUUAAAUGUCUGUAAAAAAAUCAAUUGGUGACUCUAAAUAAUUUCGAGCUGAGCGCACGGUCUUUGCACUGGUGCCGCUUCUUUCAAGUGUCUGCCUUAUCAGCUCUCGAUUGUAGAUUAUGUGCCUACAAUGGCUAUAACGGGUAACGGGGAAUCAGGGUUCGAUUCCGGAGAGGGAGCCUGAGAAACAGCUACCACAUCCAAGGAAGGCAGCAGGCACGCAAAUUACCCACUCCCGGCAUGGGGAGGUAGUGACGAAAAAUAAUGAUGUGAGACUCAUCCGAGGCCUCGCAAUCAGAAUGAGUACACUUUAAAUCCUUUUGCGAGGAUCCAUUGGAGGGCAAGUCUGGUGCCAGCAGCCGCGGUAAUUCCAGCUCCAAUAGCAUAUAUUAAAGCUGUUGCGGUUAAAAAGCUCAUAGUUGUAUUACAGUUGUGGACUGAUGGUUCUUCACCUUAAUUGGUGUUUACUGUCACGCUCCUAAGCUGCUCAUACAACCAAAAAGUUGUUGGGCUCCACUAGCUCGCACGGGAUGCUCUUAACCGAGUGUCCCCAGUGGCUGGUAUGUUUACUUUGAAAAAAUUAGAGUGCUCAGAGCAGGCUACUUGUAUUGCCUGAAUGACUAUGCAUGGAAUAAUGGAAUAGGACCUCGGUUCUAUUUUGUCGGUUUUCUCUGGAAUCCGAGGUAAUGAUUAAAAGAGACAAAAGGGGGCAUUUGUACUGUGACGCUAGAGGUGAAAUUCUUGGACCGUCACAAGACAAACAACUGCGAAAGCAUUUGCCAAGGAUGUUUUCAUUAAUCAAGAACGAAAGUUAGAGGUUCGAAGGCGAUCAGAUACCGCCCUAGUUCUAACCAUAAACGAUGCUAACCAGCAAUCCGCCGGCGUUAUUCCCAUGACCCGGCGGGCAGCUUCCGGGAAACCAAAGUCUUUGAGCUCUGGGGGAAGUAUGGUUGCAAAGCUGAAACUUAAAGGAAUUGACGGAAGGGCACCACCAGGAGUGGAGCCUGCGGCUUAAUUUGACUCAACACGGGGAACCUCACCAGGCCCAGACACUGGAAGGAUUGACAGAUUGAGAGCUCUUUCUUGAUUCAGUGGGUGGUGGUGCAUGGCCGUUCUUAGUUGGU
This 1335-nucleotide ribosomal RNA is filed under the name Heteronida aspinirostris. RNAcentral describes it as "SSU rRNA". It matches the Rfam family "Eukaryotic small subunit ribosomal RNA", at positions 37 to 1302 of the family's 1831-position model. Lineage: Eukaryota; Metazoa; Arthropoda; Malacostraca; Decapoda; Munididae. The record is from RNAcentral.